CAAAGUACCUGUACUUGUUUCUGUCUAACGACGUGCUGACAACGACGCCUAGACCUGUGACACAAAGGCUGACAGACAGCACAGAGAACUUGGCACUCUCGUGUGUCAGCGCCUUGCUAAUGAACCGUCCGUAGUCAUGUUAACAGCACACGGUGCUGGUUUACAAAUCUUCAAGCGGCAAUUUCUUUCUUUAUAAUGACUCCCAAGCCCUUUCGUCUUGCCGAGACUUGCGAUCUGAGACCGUGGAGCGAAAAAAAACCCAAAAAAAAACCCCUCCCUUUCCUCCGUGAGUGAAAACCAGGGCUGUUACAGAUCUCCACCAGGACUUCACCCAACGACAUGUUGCUUUUAUGGGUACCGGAGCACGGUUAACCCUCAGUACUGCAGCGCUCGGGUCGAGAGCGAAGCAUACAGGUCAUGACCCUUUAAUAAAGCAUCGUGUGUCAGGUAUAAACUGGAACUCGACACACUGCAGCAAGUUUUUGAGGAUGUGCCAUACAUGAACUCGUCACACUCGGGGGACUCGCGAAGCCGGUUUUACACUUAUUUAUUUAUUUAUUUAUUUUUUAAAACGUGGCAUACUACCAACUCGAAUAUUAUCUCCUGGAUGAUUCAACUGUUAAGUACAACCAAUAGUAGAACAAAGAGCGAAGCUUUCAUCUCCCCGUGCACGUAUACCGUCUCGUCCGUCUCCUUAACGUACGUGAGAGUCUGCGAAGGUUUCAGAGAGACACGACGUUUUGACGUUUUGGACAGAAAUGGAAAAAACGGUGUAGAGGGGACGUCGGGCAGACGUUCCUGUCAGUUCGGAUCAGCAGAUCUCCAGGUGAGCACACGGCUGGGAGAGAAGCGAAUCUCCAGGCAGUCCAGCUGCACUGAGAACCUCUAGGACCAAAACCCAACCUCUGCCCCGUCUCUGUAAACGACCGCAGGCCGUAUGACUCGCGCUGCCUCGCCGUUCGGCGAUGACGAACACAGAGCGAGGUGGGUUUUCUCCAAGCCCUUCUGCAGAUCAGAGAAGAUUCUCCAAUCUGUCUGACAGAAGCAGCGCUUAAAGGAAUUGCUUGGCUCUAAAUGUAGCCAUGACGGUUUUAGUCGAUUUAAUCCACUUUUUUUUUUUUUUGGUUCUUUAGACCCAGCUAAAGACAAAUCUGUUUGAAUUUAUUUAUUUAUUUUUGGUACAUUUGUGUUCUAUGUAUAGUAUGUAUCUUGUGUAUUUGGUAUAUCUUCUAUAUAAAGCAACCUUGAGCCUUGGAAAGGUGCUAUAUUU
This is a long non-coding RNA of Ictalurus punctatus (channel catfish), 1270 nucleotides long. NCBI's taxonomy places the organism in Eukaryota, Metazoa, Chordata, Actinopteri, Siluriformes, Ictaluridae. The record is from Ensembl.